CCAGACUCCUACGGGAGGCAGCAGUAGGGAAUCUUCCACAAUGGGCGAAAGCCUGAUGGAGCAACGCCGCGUGGGUGAAGAAGGUCUUCGGAUCGUAAAACCCUGUUGUUAGAGAAGAAAGUGCGUGAGAGUAACUGUUCACGUUUCGACGGUAUCUAACCAGAAAGCCACGGCUAACUACGUGCCAGCAGCCGCGGUAAUACGUAGGUGGCAAGCGUUAUCCGGAUUUAUUGGGUUUAAAGGGUGCGUAGGGGGACUUGUAAAGCAGGGGGAAAAGCCCGGGGGCCAACCCCGGGCGAGCCGUUGAAACUGGCUGUCUUGAGAUGUCGAGAGGUAUGCGGAAUGCGCAGUGUAGCGGUGAAAUGCUUAGAUAUUGCGCAGAACUCCGAUUGCGAAGGCAGCAUACCGGCGGCGAUCUGACGCUGAGGCACGAAAGCGUGGGUAUCGAACAGGAUUAGAUACCCGGGUAA
RNAcentral lists this ribosomal RNA (470 nucleotides) under uncultured bacterium. RNAcentral's name for it is "bacterial SSU rRNA". It matches the Rfam family "Bacterial small subunit ribosomal RNA", at positions 331 to 793 of the family's 1533-position model. The record is from RNAcentral.